RNAcentral lists this long non-coding RNA (260 nucleotides) under Junco hyemalis (dark-eyed junco). Its description in RNAcentral is "lncRNA (ENSJHYG00000012839.1)". The record is from RNAcentral. Lineage: Eukaryota; Metazoa; Chordata; Aves; Passeriformes; Passerellidae.
GCCAGGAACAAUUUAGAUGUAGUUUUUCUUGCUUCGAGAAGAGAGUUCUUAAUUAUGCGUCAUAUUUUCUGGUGAAUGGCCACUAGAGAGGAGAUAAAGCAUCCAUUACAGUUUUUGGAACUAAGGAUAAUUAUUCAAUGAAACCAAGCUUGGAAAUCUUCAUCAGGAGUAUAUUUUUCACUGUCUACCAUGAAUCAAAACUCUUCUGUCCAUGGAGAGAAUGUGUGACAAAGUGAUUGCUUCAAAAUGGUAAUAAAAGA